AGGCUUCGGUCUCUGAGUAGAGCGGCGCACGGGUGAGUAACGCGUGGAUGAUCUACCCUUGAGUUCGGGAUAACGGUGCGAAAGCGCCGCUAAUACCGUAUAACAAUCCAUUUCAUCGUGGGUUCAAAGCAGGCCUCUUCAUGAAAGCUUGCGCUUGGGGAUGAGUCCGCGUCCCAUUAGCUUGUUGGCGGGGUAACGGCCCACCAAGGCAACGAUGGGUAGCUGGCCUGAGAGGAUGAUCAGCCACACUGGAACUGAAACACGGUCCAGACUCCUACGGGAGGCAGCAGUGGGGAAUAUUGCGCAAUGGGGGAAACCCUGACGCAGCGACGUCGUGUGAGGGAAGAAGGCCUUCGGGUCGUAAACCUCUGUCAGAAGGGAAGAACAUCCGGGAGUCGAACAGCCUCCCGGCCUGACGGUACCUUCAGAGGAAGCGCCGGCUAACUCCGUGCCAGCAGCCGCGGUAAUACGGAGGGCGCAAGCGUUAAUCGGAAUCACUGGGCGUAAAGCGUGCGUAGGCUGCUUGAUAAGUCAGACGUGAAAUCCCUCGGCUCAACCGGGGAACUGCGUUUGAUACUGUCGAGCUAGAGUCCUGGAGAGGGUGGCGGAAUUCCUGGUGUAGGAGUGAAAUCCGUAGAUAUCANGAGGAACACCGGUGGCGAAGGCGGCCGCCUGGACAGG
RNAcentral lists this ribosomal RNA (681 nucleotides) under uncultured bacterium. Its description in RNAcentral is "bacterial SSU rRNA". It matches the Rfam family "Bacterial small subunit ribosomal RNA", at positions 75 to 737 of the family's 1533-position model. The record is from RNAcentral.